GUGCUUGCUUCAGCAGCACAUAUACUAAAAUUGGAAUGAUACAGAGAAGAUUAGCAAGGCCCCUGCGCAAGGAUGACACGCAGUGACAGCUACCAUAUGAGA
Molecule: small nuclear RNA, 102 nt
Organism: Protopterus annectens (West African lungfish)
Lineage: Eukaryota; Metazoa; Chordata; Ceratodontiformes; Protopteridae
Source: RefSeq, a predicted model, not a curated record